Molecule: ribosomal RNA, 301 nt
Filed under: uncultured bacterium
Lineage: Bacteria
Description: partial 16S ribosomal RNA
Rfam family: Bacterial small subunit ribosomal RNA
Source: RNAcentral
CAGCAGCCGCGGGAAUACGAAGGGGGCUAGCGUUGCUCGGAAUGACUGGGCGUAAAGGGCGCGUAGGCGGCGGCCAAAGUCAGGCGUGAAAUUCCUGGGCUCAACCUUGGGGCUGCGCUUGAUACUUGGUUGCUUGAGUGGGGAAGAGGGUCGUGGAAUUCCCAGUGUAGAGGUGAAAUUCGUAGAUAUUGGGAAGAACACCGGUGGCGAAGGCGGCGACCUGGUCCUUGACUGACGCUGAGGCGCGAAAGCGUGGGGAGCAAACAGGAUUAGAUACCCGAGUAGUCCCUGUCUCUUAUAC